GCGAUGGUCCAGGUUGUUUGGGAAUCGAUUUCUUUCCAGAGAGAAAAGGUGGGAGUAAGUGAGGCAAGCAGGUCUCUGCGCUCCCUCUCCACGGAGAUGAUCUCCUUUAUUACCAUGGUUUGGGAUCGGUGCUUCAUCUUCUCCGGCGAAUCCGUCUCGAUCGCCUUACUACCGCCGGACUCGCUCUCCAUCUCCGCCGCCUGGUCCUGGUCCUAGCUAACAAUCGAUCUCUACGUACACCGUCCUAGCCAGGCCACUAGCUAAGAAUCGAUCUCUACGUACACCGUCCGCUGCAAUAUAUAUAUAAUGCCUCGCUACCAACACCACCAACCCUGGCUCAAUUGUUU
RNAcentral lists this long non-coding RNA (347 nucleotides) under Hordeum vulgare. Its description in RNAcentral is "long non-coding RNA (HVUL_LNC006107)". The record is from RNAcentral. Lineage: Eukaryota; Viridiplantae; Streptophyta; Magnoliopsida; Poales; Poaceae.